UGCAAGUCGAGGGGUAACGAUGUCUUCGGACAGGCGACGACCGGCGCACGGGGGAGUACCGCGUUUUUAACCUACCUUUAACUGGAGAAUAGCCCGAAGAAAUUCGGAUUAAUACUCCAUAAUACUAUGAUCUGGCAUCUUUUUAUAGUUAAAGCUCCGGCGGUUAAAGAUGGGCAUGCGUAACAUUAGUUUUUUGGGGAGGUAACGGCUCACCAAGACUACGAUGUUUAGGGGGUCUGAGAGGAUGGUCCCCCACACUGGUACUGAGACACGGACCAGACUCCUACGGGAGGCAGCAGUGAGGAAUAUUGGUCAAUGGGCGCAAGCCUGAACCAGCCAUGCCGCGUGAAGGAUGACAGCGCUAUGCGUUUUAAACUUUUUUUUUACAGGAAGAAACACUUUUACGUGUAGAAGCUUGACGGUACUGUACGAAUAAGCAUCGGCUAACUCCGUGCCAGCAGCCGCGGUAAUACGGAGGAUGCAAGCGUUAUCCGGAUUUAUUGGGUUUAAAGGGUACGUAGGCGGAAAAUUAAGUCAGUAGUGAAAUCCUGCAGCUUAACUGUAGAACUGUUAUUGAUACUGGUUUUUUUGAAUAUAGUUGAGGUAGGCGGAAUGUGUAAUGUAGCGGGGAAAUGCUUAGAUAUUACACAGAACACCGAUUGCGAAGGCAGCUUACUAAGCUAUGAUUGACGCUGAGGUAC
This 701-nucleotide ribosomal RNA is filed under the name uncultured Bacteroidota bacterium. RNAcentral's name for it is "uncultured Bacteroidetes bacterium partial 16S ribosomal RNA". It matches the Rfam family "Bacterial small subunit ribosomal RNA", at positions 56 to 754 of the family's 1533-position model. The record is from RNAcentral. Lineage: Bacteria; Pseudomonadati; Bacteroidota.